This 446-nucleotide unclassified non-coding RNA is filed under the name Casasia jacquinioides. Its description in RNAcentral is "partial external transcribed spacer". The record is from RNAcentral. Lineage: Eukaryota; Viridiplantae; Streptophyta; Magnoliopsida; Gentianales; Rubiaceae.
UUGGUUGGAUCCCCGCUGGAGCGGCGACGUCUUCCCUUGCAUUCCUCCUCAGUCGUUGGCCCAAGAGCAACGUCACCAGCCUUGGCCGCCUGUGGGUUCCUGUAUUGCAUACCUACCCGAAGGAAUUCGGACGUCACAACGAUCGACGUUCGUCCAGCGCCGUGCCCCUUGUGCGGGCGCGGCGUGGGGUGAACCGCGAAGGCGAGUUCGUGCUCCGAGCCGCAGCCAAGCGAUGCGUCCCGGCCCACGAGCUACCGCCUGAGCUCUCGGAUGCAGUGCACUAGGAGGGCAGGGGGUGCUCGACGACCUCUAUUUGCCCGAACUCGGCGUCCAUCGCCCGCACCGAACGACUGCUGUCGUCGCCUCGGGGCGUCGCAACCCUUCGGGUUUGUCGGCCUCGUGCGACGCCGGCGUCAGUUAGGAAUGCUACCUGGUUGGAAUCCUGC